RNAcentral lists this microRNA (18 nucleotides) under Corchorus capsularis. RNAcentral describes it as "sRNA CCACVL1_08468". The record is from RNAcentral. Lineage: Eukaryota; Viridiplantae; Streptophyta; Magnoliopsida; Malvales; Malvaceae.
AACUGGGAUUUCUUGGCU